RNAcentral lists this ribosomal RNA (497 nucleotides) under uncultured bacterium. RNAcentral describes it as "partial 16S ribosomal RNA". It matches the Rfam family "Bacterial small subunit ribosomal RNA", at positions 28 to 507 of the family's 1533-position model. The record is from RNAcentral.
GAUGAACGCUGGCGGCGUGCCUAAUACAUGCGAGUCGAGCGAACAGACGAGGAGCUUGCUCCUCUGACGUUAGCGGCGGACGGGUGAGUAACACGUGGAUAACCUACCUAUAAGACUGGGAUAACUUCGGGAAACCGGAGCUAAUACCGGAUAAUAUAUUGAACCGCAUGGUUCAAUAGUGAAAGACGGUUUUGCUGUCACUUAUAGAUGGAUCCGCGCCGCAUUAGCUAGUUGGUAAGGUAACGGCUUACCAAGGCGACGAUGCGUAGCCGACCUGAGGGGGUGAUCGGCCACACUGGAACUGAGACACGGUCCAGACUCCUACGGGAGGCAGCAGUAGGGAAUCUUCCGCAAUGGGCGAAAGCCUGACGGAGCAACGCCGCGUGAGUGAUGAAGGUCUUCGGAUCGUAAAACUCUGUUAUUAGGGAAGAACAAAUGUGUAAGUAACUAUGCACGUCUUGACGGUACCUAAUCAGAAAGCCACGGCUAACUACGUG